GCAAAACGCCACCUCAGUGAAAUAAUUAUACAAGAAUAUAUUUUAGCACUAUCCGAGAAUGCUACAUACUUAAUAAAACCCCGAAAGUUGCAUCAAAAAUUACAAUUAUUUAGUUUUUAGUGUUUUUGUAUUUACACUCACGGGAACCCUGCGUUUAAUUUUUCCCGCGUUUUGCUGUUCUAACUCGCGGCCGACACCGUGAAUUGAUAAAGUUUUUGCAUUAUUUUCGACGUGGCUAAAGCCAAGAAAGAAAUUCGACACAUCUUAACACUUUUAUAAUAAAAAACGUACAAACGAUGGAUGGAAGGACAAAGGAUGGGUUUGAAAAAGGAGGCGAAUCCCAACUCAAGCAAGCUGCCAGCUUUAAAGGCAUGAUGCUAGGGCAGGAUGUAUUCAUUAAUACAGCUAAGUACCAAAAAGAUAGAUAAUAGUUACAAAUGAAAACUUGUAUAAAAAAAUGACCCAGGCUAAUAAACUAAACCAAAAGAAGUUGGAAACUUUAAAAACAAGUUAGAGUGGUUUAUUUCAUUCACCCUUUGACAAAGUGUCUGUUACAAAACACUGACCAACAUUGACCCUUAUUGCAAAUGGACUGAAUGGGUUUUCUAGUAAAAAAAAUAUAGUUUCAAUUUGAACUAAUUAACUGCACAGGGUUUUGUGAGCAAUCUACUUUUCAAAUAGCUGAUAUGAAUACAGCUCAAUACUUAGGAAUCUGAGAUGAUAUUUGCAAAAAUCAACAGCAAUGUACCAUUUGACCUUUUGACCUGCAAUUAUUUCAAAGAUAAUUUAGCACUGUACAUGGAAGUGAUGUGAAAUGAAAAUAUAGCUACCUUAUUUUUAACAAACUGCAUCUUUUUGUAAUGUCACACCACCCUAUUUUAUGUUUUAACACAAAAAUACCAGGUGUGCAUACCCUUGAAACCAUGAUGCUUCAAUAUGGGGGUCUAGUGGGUCCAUGGACCUCCUCAUCGAGGGUCAGUGUUUUGUAGGAUCCACCCAAGACGAAGUGUCAAUUCAAAGAGUAUUAGCCAAAAAACCCAGUAAAGAAGGUUGAUAAAACUGUUUAUCCAAUAUUUGUAAUUUCUACCAAAUUACUUUUAUUACCCUUCAACUGAGAAAAAAUUAUAAAAAUCAAGAAAAUCUAGUAGUAGUGAAAUGUGAAAGGAAGAAAGGGAAUUUGGACAGUGUAGGCAAUGGAGCACAUUUACUGGCAAAAACGAUAUGCUAAUGUAUAGAAACGCGUUGUAAGCUGAUAUGGUUUUAAAUGUUAAAGAGAAUAAAAAGCACCCAUUUUACUGUAAAAAAAAAA
This is a long non-coding RNA of Nematostella vectensis (starlet sea anemone), 1309 nucleotides long. RefSeq lists it as uncharacterized. NCBI's taxonomy places the organism in Eukaryota, Metazoa, Cnidaria, Anthozoa, Actiniaria, Edwardsiidae. The record is from RefSeq and is a predicted model, not a curated record. The transcript has 2 exons.